RNAcentral lists this ribosomal RNA (357 nucleotides) under uncultured bacterium. Its description in RNAcentral is "partial 16S ribosomal RNA". It matches the Rfam family "Bacterial small subunit ribosomal RNA", at positions 338 to 692 of the family's 1533-position model. The record is from RNAcentral.
CCUACGGGUGGCAGCAGUGAGGAAUAUUGGUCAAUGGGCGCGAGCCUGAACCAGCCCAGUCGCGUGAGGGAUGAAGGUUCUAUGGAUCGUAAACUUCUUUUAUAAGGGCAUAACGUGUGGGACGUGUCCUAUUUUGUAUGUACCUUAUGAAUAAGGAUCGGCUAACUCCGUGCCAGCAGCCGCGGUAAUACGGAGGAUCCGAGCGUUAUCCGGAUUUCUUGGGUUUAAAGGGUGCGUAGGCGGCCUUUUACGUCAGCGGUGAAAGUGUGUGGCUCAACCCUAGAAUUGCCGUAGAAACUGGGGGGGUGGAGUAUGUUGGAGGCAGGCGGAAGGGGUGGUGUAGCGGUGAAAUGCGUA